RNAcentral lists this small RNA (127 nucleotides) under Marmota monax (woodchuck). The record is from RNAcentral. Lineage: Eukaryota; Metazoa; Chordata; Mammalia; Rodentia; Sciuridae.
GCUGGGCUGGGUGGCCCACGCCUGUCAUCCCAGCAGCUCAGGAGGCUGAGGCAGGAGGAUCGCCAGGUGGAGGCCAGCCUCAGAAAUUUAGCAAAGCCCUGAGCCACUCAGCGAGACCCUGUCUCUA